AUUGAACGCUGGCGGCAGGCCUAACACAUGCAAGUCGAACGGUAGCACAGAGAGCUUGCUCUCGGGUGACAAGUGGCGGACGGGUGAGUAACGUCUGGGAAACUGCCCGAUGGAGGGGGAUAACUACUGGAAACGGUAGCUAAUACCGCAUAACGUCGCAAGACCAAAGUGGGGGCACCUCGGGCCUCACACCAUCGGAUGUGCCCAGCAGGGAUUAGCUAGUAGGUGGGGUAAUGGCUCACCUAGGCGACGAUCCCUAGCUGGUCUGAGAGGAUGGCCGGCCACACUGGGACUGAGACAAGGACCAGACGCCUACGGGAGGCAGCAGUGGGGAAUAUUGCACAAUGGGCGAGAGCCUGGUGCAGCCAUGCGGCGUGUAUGAAGAAGGCCUUCGGGUUGUAAAGUACUUUCAGCGGGGAGGAAGGUGGGGAAGUUAAUAACAUCACCGAUUGACGUUACCCGCAGAAGAAGCACCGGCUAACUCCGUGCCAGCCGCCGCAGUAA
Molecule: ribosomal RNA, 504 nt
Filed under: uncultured bacterium
Lineage: Bacteria
Description: partial 16S ribosomal RNA
Rfam family: Bacterial small subunit ribosomal RNA
Source: RNAcentral